Molecule: ribosomal RNA, 508 nt
Filed under: uncultured bacterium
Lineage: Bacteria
Description: bacterial SSU rRNA
Rfam family: Bacterial small subunit ribosomal RNA
Source: RNAcentral
ACGAACGCUGGCGGCGUGCUUAACACAUGCAAGUCGAACGAGAAGAGAUGAGAAGCUUGCUUCUUAUCGAUUCGAGUGGCAAACGGGUGAGUAACGCGUAAGCAACCUGCCCUUCAGAUGGGGACAACAGCUGGAAACGGCUGCUAAUACCGAAUACGUUCUUUUUGUCGCAUGGCAGAGGGAAGAAAGGGAGGCUCUUCGGAGCUUUCGCUGAAGGAGGGGCUUGCGUCUGAUUAGCUAGUUGGAGGGGUAACGGCCCACCAAGGCGACGAUCAGUAGCCGGUCUGAGAGGAUGAACGGCCACAUUGGGACUGAGACACGGCCCAGACUCCUACGGGAGGCAGCAGUGGGGAAUCUUCCGCAAUGGACGAAAGUCUGACGGAGCAACGCCGCGUGAACGAUGACGGCCUUCGGGUUGUAAAGUUCUGUUAUACGGGACGAAUGGCGUAGCGGUCAAUACCCGUUACGAGUGACGGUACCGUAAGAGAAAGCCACGGCUAACUACGUG